Molecule: long non-coding RNA, 727 nt
Organism: Armigeres subalbatus
Lineage: Eukaryota; Metazoa; Arthropoda; Insecta; Diptera; Culicidae
Exons: 4
Source: RefSeq, a predicted model, not a curated record
UUGCUGCAUUUGCUGCGGUUGCUUUUACGGUUGCUGAAUUUCAAUUUUAAAAAAGCAGGCAUUUGGUGCGCGAAAAGGUCGAGCAUCCCUUGUUAACUAAAUUUGAGAUCUGGAUCGCAGAACUGGAUAAACGACACUCCUGUUAAUCACAACGCGGGAACGGAAUUCAUUUGGAAUGGAACAAAAUUAAUUGCCCGUGAUGAGCAACAUUCAUCAUUUGGAAUUCCUGGUUCCGAUUUCAAAAACCUCAGGCCCGGCAGAUAAAAAUAAACCGGAUGACGAUCCAGUGCUAAACGAUGGAAACAGUUUUGCGAAUCGUUGGCAAAGGGAUGGUACAAACUCGGGAACAAAGGCAACAUAGCCGAAACUGGACGAUUAUUUUGCAGCAGGCAGAAGGAAUUAGAUAUCGCCGAAUGUAGCGAAAAAUUGUCUAGAACGGUUCAUCUCCAUCAGCGAGUCUAAUCAAAGGCGUCAAGCAUGCGAGAUUCUUCCGGCUCAAGAACAAUUUAUGCCUCGCUGAAAGACGUUCGGUUACUACAUAUCCAGUAUCAUAUAGGAGCAUAGAUGCCGGCUUUGGUAUAGUUUGCGGUUUCGAAGCGCCUCCGAACGCGAAGGGAUUCCAGCAAGACAUGAGCCACCCUGGGUCUGCGGAUCGAUACUGGAUUCCUGCUAUUUUUCAAUAUACUUGCUUCAAUAUGUAUCGCCGUUGCAUUUGAUCUAUCGGGGA